Molecule: non-coding RNA, 402 nt
Organism: Salvelinus sp. IW2-2015
Lineage: Eukaryota; Metazoa; Chordata; Actinopteri; Salmoniformes; Salmonidae
Source: RefSeq, a predicted model, not a curated record
ACUCAAACACAGGCUGCUGGAGAAGAGACUGGAGAAUGAGAGGGACAACAAGGACGGCAGAGCAGAAUCUGCCCUAUCCACCAGGAGUUUUGAUGGACAGGCGGAUGCACUGCACAGUGUGCUUAGAUGAAAAAAGGACCUGCUGCAAAGACUAAGGGAGCAGCACAUGUUGGAGGACCUGGGGAGACGGUACCGCCCAGACCUCCUCCCGUCCUUCUGCUUCCUCCUCCGGCCCCCAUCCAUAUCUACCAGCCUGCCCCUGCACCCCCAGCAACUGUUACCCCAGCAGCCUACUACCUUCAUACAGCAGUUACCACAGCAACACCUCCUCAUACAACAGAUACCCCCUCAGCCUUACCCUGCACCACGGUCUGGGAGCAUCAAAGAAGGUCAACACACACA